This 591-nucleotide ribosomal RNA is filed under the name Paenibacillus sp. Its description in RNAcentral is "bacterial SSU rRNA". It matches the Rfam family "Bacterial small subunit ribosomal RNA", at positions 109 to 687 of the family's 1533-position model. Lineage: Bacteria; Bacillati; Bacillota; Bacilli; Caryophanales; Paenibacillaceae. The record is from RNAcentral.
AGUAACACGUAGGCAACCUGCCUGUAAGACUGGGAUAACUACCGGAAACGGUAGCUAAUACCGGAUAGGCUUUUUCCUCACCUGAGGGAGAAGAGAAAGACGGAGCAAUCUGUCACUUACAGAUGGGCCUGCGGCGCAUUAGCUAGUUGGUGAGGUAACGGCUCACCAAGGCGACGAUGCGUAGCCGACCUGAGAGGGUGAUCGGCCACACUGGGACUGAGACACGGCCCAGACUCCUACGGGAGGCAGCAGUAGGGAAUCUUCCGCAAUGGACGAAAGUCUGACGGAGCAACGCCGCGUGAGUGAUGAAGGCCUUCGGGUCGUAAAGCUCUGUUGCCAAGGAAGAACAGCCGAGAGAGUAACUGCUCUCGGAAUGACGGUACUUGAGAAGAAAGCCCCGGCUAACUACGUGCCAGCAGCCGCGGUAAUACGUAGGGGGCAAGCGUUGUCCGGAAUUAUUGGGCGUAAAGCGCGCGCAGGCGGUAAUGUAAGUUGGGUGUUUAAGGCAAGGGCUCAACCCUUGUUCGCACCCAAAACUGCAUCACUUGAGUGCAGCAGAGGAAAGUGGAAUUCCACGUGUAGCGGUGAAAU